GUGCUCAACUUGGCAGCACAUAGACUAAAAUUGGAGCAAUACAGAGAAGACUAGUAUGGCCCCUGCAAAAGGAUGGCAUUCAAAUUCCUGAAGCGUUCCAUAUUUUU
Small nuclear RNA from Sorex araneus (European shrew), 107 nucleotides. Lineage: Eukaryota; Metazoa; Chordata; Mammalia; Eulipotyphla; Soricidae. The record is from Ensembl.